AAGGAUUUUAGUCCUACCUUAAGUUCUUCCUUUAUUAAUAAAACAACUCUGAACUUAAGAGCUAUUCAAACAAGGUACAGCCUGUUUGAAACAGGGAACAACCUCAAAAAUAGGGUAACUCCAAAUGACAGGUGUCCAAGUGGGCCUAAAAGCAGCCAACUUUUAAAAAGCGUUACAGCUUCCUCACCAGUCACUUUAAUACCAAAAACACUACAUAACCCUCACCCAGUACUAAAUAACUCUAUACCCCUAUAGAAAUUAUUAUGCUAAAACUAGUAACAUGAAGAAGCCCUUCUCCUAAAUGUACAUGUACGCCAAAAAGAACAAUUCAUUGGCAUUUAACGCUACUGAUCCUAAAGCAACAACUAUACAAGAGAAUCUUGCUAACACCAACGUUAACCUAACACAAGAACAUUUCAGGAAAGAUUAAAAGAGGUGGAAGGAACUCGGCAAAUUUUAACCCCGCCUGUUUACCAAAAACAUCGCCUCCUGCAACAUAUAGGAGGUCCAGCCUGCCCAGUGACCAAGUUAAACGGCCGCGGUACCCUAACCGUGCAAAGGUAGCGUGCGG
RNAcentral lists this ribosomal RNA (571 nucleotides) under Gastrophryne carolinensis (eastern narrow-mouthed toad). Its description in RNAcentral is "16S ribosomal RNA". The record is from RNAcentral. Lineage: Eukaryota; Metazoa; Chordata; Amphibia; Anura; Microhylidae.